CAUAUACUCCCUUCGUCCGAAAAUACUUGUCAUCAAAAUGGACAAAAAGGGACGUAUCUAGAACUACAGUACAUCUGGAUAUAUCCCCUUUUUAUUCAUUUUGAUGACAAGUAUUUCCGGACGGAGGGAGUAUAUG
Non-coding RNA from Triticum aestivum (bread wheat), 136 nucleotides. The record is from Rfam. Lineage: Eukaryota; Viridiplantae; Streptophyta; Magnoliopsida; Poales; Poaceae.